UUGCAAAUUUGUGGAAUUUUCCAGAAUGGAACUAACGGAAGCCCUUCAUUUUGCAGGUGGGGCUCACUGCCCCUUAGGGGGCAGGGAGCCAGUGAUUC
Molecule: unclassified non-coding RNA, 98 nt
Organism: Mesocricetus auratus (golden hamster)
Lineage: Eukaryota; Metazoa; Chordata; Mammalia; Rodentia; Cricetidae
Source: Ensembl